This 1774-nucleotide long non-coding RNA is filed under the name Physcomitrium patens. Its description in RNAcentral is "long non-coding RNA (PPAT_LNC004831)". Lineage: Eukaryota; Viridiplantae; Streptophyta; Bryopsida; Funariales; Funariaceae. The record is from RNAcentral.
GUAGGAACAAAUCUUGAUAGUAUUAUAAAUGUUUUGUUUGAAGAAAAUUACAUAGAUUUUAACAAUGAUCAAAUCGUAAGAAGGUAUUUCUACUCUAAGAUAGAACAUUAUGAAUGGCUGAAAAGACCUAUCAACUACCUUCAAAGAAAAUAAAAAUCAAAGUACAUGACAAAUAUAAUUUACCGCAUCUUAGACUUCCUCAACAUAUGAUCACCACUCCUUGUAGAACUCUCUUCUUGAAAGGGACAUGAUGUCAUAGAUAUAUAUAUCAAUUGAAAUUAUUACCUAGAUAAUAUGAAAAGUUAGAAGUUGAUAAAAGUAGAUUCAUUUUAUACUAUUUUUUAAAGAAGCUUCCUAGAAGCGUUUUAGGUGCUCUUUUGACUUUAUAUAGGAUUAUAGUUGAUUGAUAGGUUAGAAACUUGGUCAAAAAACUAACCAUGUGCCACAUGUGUUGAUACCUUAUAAAACAAGCUAAUUAUAUGGCACCCAUAUAGAAAACUUAUCUUAUAAGAUAAAAUAUAUGUCAUACAAAGUCAACAUGAUAUUGGACAAUCUAUAGAACGUCACCACAUAGUUCCUAAAUAGAUAAUAUUUAUAGAAGCAAGAGUAAAGCUUUCUUUACUCUUGUGAAUUCUCUUCUUGUUUUUCGUUUAAUUUUAAGACUCUCUAAUUUCUUUGUUUUUUGGCAAUAGCCAUUUCAAAUUUCUUUUUAAUAUACAUAUUUUUUUAUAUUUAUUUUUUUAAUAUUUGUUUGAGAAAGCCACAUUUGUUUAUUUGCUUUCAUCAAAAUCUUGUUCUUGACAUUAUAUUAGAAAUAUCAUCAAAGUAGAAAACUAUAUCUAAGAUCAAUUCCAAAUAUCAACACUCCGCACAAAACUUCCAUUUGACAUCUAAUAAUCUCUGAUCUUUAAUUAAAACAAAUUGAAUGUAACCAAGGGUAUCAACUAUCACAAACUCCAAAAUAGCCUACUCACUUGAACCAUCAAUCAAUUACUUCUAAUGCAUGCUCACACUGUACAGUUUAAAUAACAACUAUGAAUCUUGAACAAAGAGUAGAUGGGAAAAAACCUUGCCUUGAAUUAAAACAUCAAGCAACAGAAGCAAUACUCAGAAAAAAAUAUAAACAAAAACAAAAAGAUACCAUGACAACAACAGCAUACCUAUGUCAGAUGUUAUAAGUGCCAAUUGGAAAUAAAAAACAUCAUAUUACAUAUAUUCUAAAAAUUUUAAAAAAAUGUCUAAUAAUAAAUUGUAACAUAAAAAUUUGGUAUUUAACUUUAUUAUUUUAUACAAUCCACUCUUCAUAGAGGAAUAUAAUACAUGCCACCUCCACAUAAUCUUUCACUAAUAAAUGUUCUAUUCACUGUUUGAACAAAAUAACAAUCAGAAUACAUUUGCUUAUAAUAUAAUAAUGCAAUAGUAUUCUAUUAAAGUAUAUGAACUGUAUAUGAGCCAUUGUAUUAUAUGAAAAUCAUAAACUGAAUACAAAACUCAGGCUAGAAGUGAACACACUCUCAUCGUAUUCGGCUACACUAUUUAUGAGGGAGGAUGAACGAGAGUCAGUCAUUCUGUUGUCCUGGAUUACUCCUCCACAUUCGUUCCUUCUCCCCCAAGCCCUGAGCCCUGUUUGGACUGGGACACUGCACGAUACACUCAGUGAUCCUCCAAAAUCAUUCCUGCAGCAUCAAUCAAGCCGCAAUCAUUCCUGAUACAAGCAUUAUAUUAGAAGCAAGUGAACUUGAGAGUUUUUGAUAGAAAGAAUAUAUUACCUAUA